ACCAACUGCAAGCUGCGCGAAAACUAUCAAUUUGCAAUCGAAAUCUAUGAGAUUUCAAUAUCGUCUUCAGUAGGCCAAGGAUUGUUGCGAAUCGUCUUCAGUAGGCUAAGGAUUGUUGCGAAUCAACCGAAAUCUAGGUUUCAUGUGAUGUGCCUCUUUGGGCUGCUAUUGGAGGACAGGAUGUGGAGCGGUUACCCUCAGCUUCGACAUGCUACAACACUCUAAAGUGUGGCAGUACAUUAUGAGGAUAUAUACUCUGGCUGAAACGGGUGAAAUUUUUGAUAGUACACAUGAAGGGAAUACUACUGCUGAUAUAUACCCUAGCUGUGAGUUUGCUUUCACCUGCUUUCUAUUGAAAUGAUUUAUAAUUUCACUGCUGAUUGGGUGAAAUGCUAUUAGUCGUAUAUCUGAAUAUGUAAUGUUAGGAGAUUUGGUGGGAGUUUGGCAAGAAUAUCUCAAUGUAGGAUCCUUUCUAGAUUCAGGCUUUUGAAUCAACUUUCUAGUGUUUUGAGUCUGGCAGAAUAUCUGAAUCUAAGAUCCUUUUAGAUUCAGGCUUUGGAAUCAGCUUUUGAGUCAUUUCUGAAUACUUGCACUUUUGUUAGACCAUUA
Beta vulgaris subsp. vulgaris (sugar beet) is the source of this 609-nucleotide long non-coding RNA. RefSeq lists it as uncharacterized. The transcript has 3 exons. Lineage: Eukaryota; Viridiplantae; Streptophyta; Magnoliopsida; Caryophyllales; Amaranthaceae. The record is from RefSeq and is a predicted model, not a curated record.